Molecule: long non-coding RNA, 665 nt
Organism: Asparagus officinalis (garden asparagus)
Lineage: Eukaryota; Viridiplantae; Streptophyta; Magnoliopsida; Asparagales; Asparagaceae
Exons: 2
Source: RefSeq, a predicted model, not a curated record
AGAAGGCAAAGUUAGUUAUUGCGAUGCUUGUACCUUGGUGUAAGGCACGAUUGGGAUCACGACCCUAGAUGUUGCCCCUGCAAAUAAAGGACUGAUCAUCAUCAAUAGGUUGAGGAUACUGCUGCGUUCAUAAAUUAUUUUGGCGAAGGCCCAGCAGCAAGAUACGAAACCAUUAUUGGAAUGUGCCACUAGUUGCUUGACAUUCAAAAGAAGAUUUCCACCUCUUCUGGAGACUACUACCACGAUGACAACUGGAGCAUUCGCCGCGCCAUAGAGCUCUUCCAAGCAGGGAUAAUAUCAUCGAUACAGACAAAGACGUGGUAUUGCUCAGGAAGAAAGAGAUAAUCUCUUGCUCAACAGGAAGUUGUGGCGAAGUAGCUUCCCUCAAUCGCCUCACCAUGGGAGUGUGGUUCACGCAAACGCCUAGUAGCAGCGAAAAUAUAAACAAGAACUUGGAAGAGUAUUGCAACAAGAGGUGGCAUAGGUGGCAUGCAAUCUUCUUGCAGAUUUAUUUUAGCAAUCAUUGGGUUUUUAUCUCAAUUUUUGGUGCCUUGCUCCUCUUGUUUGUUGGACAUGUUAGUUAUUUGAGAUAAUGCCUCUUGUUUGUUGGACAUGUUAGUUAUUUGAGAUAACGUGUUAAAUUCUCUGAGAACCAUUUGAUUUUC